AGAGUUUGAUCAUGGCUCAGGACGAACGCUGGCGGCGUGCCUAACACAUGCAAGUCGAGCGAAGCUUAAGCCUUCAGCUUGCUGUUGGCUUAAGACUUAGCGGCGAACGGGUGAGUAACGCGUGGGUGACCUACCCAGGAGACCGGGAUAACAGCUCGAAAGGGCUGCUAAUACCGGAUGACAUCCUGCUCUUUUGGGGGUAGGAUCAAAGCGUUAUGUAGCGCUUCUGGAUGGGCCCGCGUCCCAUUAGCUAGUUGGUGAGGUAACGGCUCACCAAGGCGACGAUGGGUAGCCGGUCUGAGAGGAUGGUCGGCCACACUGGGACUGAGAUACGGCCCAGACUCCUACGGGAGGCAGCAGUGGGGAAUUUUGCGCAAUGGGGGCAACCCUGACGCAGCGACGCCGCGUGGGUGAAGAAGGCCUUCGGGUUGUAAAGCCCUGUCUAGGGGGAAGAUAGUGACGGUACCCCUGGAGGAAGCCCCGGCUAACUACGUGCCAGCAGCCGCGGUAAUACGUAGGGGGCGAGCGUUGUCCGGAAUUACUGGGCGUAAAGGGCGUGUAGGCGGCCAAGCAAGUCAGCUGUGAAACACCCCGGCUCAACCGUGGUUCUGCAGUUGAAACUGCGUGGCUUGAGUGCAGGAGAGGAGGGUGGAAUUCCUGGUGUAGCGGUGAAAUGCGUAGAUAUCAGGAGGAACACCGGUGGCGAAGGCGACCUUCUGGCCUGUUACUGACGCUGAGGCGCGAAAGCUAGGGGAGCGAACAGGAUUAGAUACCCUGGUAGUCCUAGCCGUAAACGCUGGGUACUAGGUGUAGGCGGUUUAGAUACUGUCUGUGCCGCAGUUAACGCAUUAAGUACCCCGCCUGGGGAGUACGGUCGCAAGGCUGAAACUCAAAUGAAUUGACGG
RNAcentral lists this ribosomal RNA (905 nucleotides) under uncultured bacterium. RNAcentral describes it as "bacterial SSU rRNA". It matches the Rfam family "Bacterial small subunit ribosomal RNA", at positions 8 to 916 of the family's 1533-position model. The record is from RNAcentral.